RNAcentral lists this long non-coding RNA (229 nucleotides) under Elaeis guineensis (African oil palm). Its description in RNAcentral is "long non-coding RNA (EGUI_LNC055454)". The record is from RNAcentral. Lineage: Eukaryota; Viridiplantae; Streptophyta; Magnoliopsida; Arecales; Arecaceae.
AGAAUUAACCAUCAAUGAUACAUGUCUCAAAUUUUUAACUCUUGAAAAUAUGUAUCAUCAUCUUAUUAAUUCUUUGGAUGAUUCAUAGACACAUAUACUACAUGAAUGAAAUUAACUGUCCUAAUUAAUUAAGUCAACUACACAAUUAUAUCCUGAAAAGAAUAUUAAUAUUUCGGUCUGAUUGGCUUCAAGGACAUACAUCUAACACUUGGGCAUGGAGGCAUUAGGA